This 377-nucleotide ribosomal RNA is filed under the name uncultured bacterium. RNAcentral describes it as "bacterial SSU rRNA". It matches the Rfam family "Bacterial small subunit ribosomal RNA", at positions 521 to 896 of the family's 1533-position model. The record is from RNAcentral.
UAAUACGUAGGGGGCUAGCGUUGUCCGGAUUUAUUGGGCGUAAAGAGCGUGUAGGCGGCCAUUUAGGUCCGGUGUGAAAACUCGAGGCUUAACCUCGAGAUGUCAUCGGAAACCAUUUGGCUAGAGUCCGGAAGAGGAGAGUGGAAUUCCUGGUGUAGCGGUGAAAUGCGCAGAUAUCAGGAAGAACACCAAUGGCGAAAGCAGCUCUCUGGGACGGUACUGACGCUGAGACGCGAAAGCGUGGGGAGCGAACAGGAUUAGAUACCCUGGUAGUCCACGCCGUAAACGAUGGGCGCUAGGUGUGGGCGGUGUCGACUCCGUCCGUGCCGAAGCUAACGCAUUAAGCGCCCCGCCUGGGGAGUACGGCCGCAAGGCUA